Long non-coding RNA from Alligator sinensis (Chinese alligator), 275 nucleotides. RefSeq lists it as uncharacterized. The record is from RefSeq and is a predicted model, not a curated record. NCBI's taxonomy places the organism in Eukaryota, Metazoa, Chordata, Crocodylia, Alligatoridae. The transcript has 3 exons.
GGCCCUGAGCCGAGUCGAGUCGAGUCGAGUGGGCGGUGGGGGAGGGGCCGCGCAGCGCAGCGCCUGGGCCCGUCGCUGCGCCUCAAAGGGGCUUUUCCAGCGCGUAUUUGGCAGCAAUCAUUUCUUUUCCUCAUUAAGAAGAUUCUGAAGCUUUCCACCCAUCAGUGGCAUUUGAGUUGCCUCCUGUAUUAUUGCCGUUGACUUCACCAUUUCCUUCAUAGGCAAGAGUAAAUGUUAAGAAGCACAGAAGAUGAAAAUAGCCUGUGCUGGUUCUG